Molecule: long non-coding RNA, 780 nt
Organism: Ostrea edulis (European flat oyster)
Lineage: Eukaryota; Metazoa; Mollusca; Bivalvia; Ostreida; Ostreidae
Exons: 2
Source: RefSeq, a predicted model, not a curated record
AAUAGCCGUGUUUCGAGUUACUCCGGAACACAGUGUUUAUUCUGUGUUUAGUCACGCCGCGUCAAAAAUGUUCCACAGGGUUACUUCCGGUUUAUCGUUGUUUACCUUUGUUUACCAACAGUCGACACUUCGUGUAUUAGGCCUAGGCUUAAUUUUGUCGAUCAUCAUGAAAUUGAAAUACACAUUUAAUAGUUUGGGGUGUAUGCGGUACAUAUUUGUUUAUGAGCGUUUGAUAAGCUACUAUUGAUCUACGAAAUACAACGAAAGACUUCGUCAAGAACAGAAGAAGACGAUGUCGUGUAACUCGCACAAGGCCCAGCUGUCUAGUAACCGGAGGGGUAAAGGAAAAGAACGUAUUAGACUCACUGAAACCUGUCAAACAGGUAUAUGGGAACAGGAUCAUUUUCCAUGCCUUUCACUUGAGGUCUUCAGUUUCAUCAUUAAUCAUCUGAAUGUCGGUAUGCUAAACUCUCAUGAUGUCAUGCCAUUACUGGAUAUUCCUUAACACUGGUUUAUUUAAGCCACACUACCUAUAACAUUGCCAAAAUAUUAGACUGAAAAUUUUCAAAUACACAAGAUUUGAAGCAGCAAAAGAAAAGAAUUACAUAUGUAUAACACACAAAAAAGAAGAAAUUAAUUCUCACCUGGCUGAUAUGAACUUUUUACUCCUUUUUAGCUCCCUUUCACUGCAUACCAGCCAAUAACUAGCAGUCAUUAUAUGCAGAUCAACCAUUGUUAUCAACCUGUGUAUAUAUAUGUUGAAUAAAAUAUGAAUGAAAA